Long non-coding RNA from Labrus mixtus (cuckoo wrasse), 581 nucleotides. RefSeq lists it as uncharacterized. The record is from RefSeq and is a predicted model, not a curated record. Lineage: Eukaryota; Metazoa; Chordata; Actinopteri; Labriformes; Labridae. The transcript is spliced from 3 exons.
AGCCGCCCCGUGACUACACACAGGAUAAGCAGGUAGAAAGAAUGCAUUGAUAAAUAAGGAAACACUGAAAUAAGGCCCGUGCUACCCUUUAUUUUCUGUAUUAGUCAUCACUAGUUACACUGUAUGCAUCAUGCAGUCCAUGCAGACAGGCUGCCACGAAAGCAGAGGGGCUAUCUGGCGGACAUGUGUGGGCGUUGGUACUGACGUACAGCAGAGAGGAAUAAAAGGAUAUGUGUCUCCCUCUACAAAAUCCCAGCGCUUUUGAACGAAGCCAGCUUCACGUCAACAAUUACUCAAGCUUCAAGUCUUUGUUCAGAUCAUUCUCCCGAGAAACUCCUCACCUCAACCUUUGAGGAUUCAUCCAUUUCCUCCACCCUCAUAGGAAUCCCUCAGCAGAGCCACAUCAACACAGAGACUGCAUUUGUCCCGUUUAUUCAAGAGCUUUUAAUGCAUAUUUUUUACCCAUUUCCCUCUGUCUGCAUUUCGAUUUGGGUGCAGUAAAACUGUUUCAUAAUGUGCAAUAAUAUAACCAUGGCUGGGCUUAGCAUCCUGUGGGACCUGAGUGAGAUCUUUCAUUGCCC